GCAGGUGAACCAGAUGGGUCUGU
Molecule: non-coding RNA, 23 nt
Filed under: Arabidopsis thaliana (thale cress)
Lineage: Eukaryota; Viridiplantae; Streptophyta; Magnoliopsida; Brassicales; Brassicaceae
Source: RNAcentral